Molecule: ribosomal RNA, 119 nt
Organism: Pteropus vampyrus (large flying fox)
Lineage: Eukaryota; Metazoa; Chordata; Mammalia; Chiroptera; Pteropodidae
Source: Ensembl
GUCUACGGUCAUGCUACCCUGAACAAGCUCAAUCCCUUCUGAUCUCGAAAGCUAAGCAGGGUCAUGCCUGGUUAGUACUUAGGUGGGAGACCACCUAAAACGACCAGGUGCUGUAGACA